AUUGAACGCUGGCGGCAGGCCUAACACAUGCAAGUCGAGCGGUAGAGAGGUGCUUGCACCUCUUGAGAGCGGCGGACGGGUGAGUAAUGCCUAGGAAUCUGCAUGGUAGUGGGGGAUAACGCUCGGAAACGGACGCUAAUACCGCAUACGUCCUACGGGAGAAAGCAGGGGACCUGCGGGCCUUGCGCUAUCAGAUGAGCCUAGGUCGGAUUAGCUAGUUGGUGGGGUAAUGGCUCACCAAGGCGACGAACCGUAACUGGUCUGAGAGGAUGAUCAGUCACACUAGAACUGAGACAAGGUCCAAGCUCCUAAGGGAGGCAGCAGUGGGGAAUAUUGGACAAUGGGCGAAAGCCUGAUCCAGCCAUGCCGCGUGUGUGAAGAAAUUCUUCGGAUUGUAAAGCACUUUAAGUUGGGAGGAAGGGCAGUAAGUUCAUACCUUGCUGUUUUGACGUUACCGACAGAAUAAGCACCGGCUAACUCUGUGCCAGCCGCCGCAGUAA
RNAcentral lists this ribosomal RNA (500 nucleotides) under uncultured bacterium. RNAcentral's name for it is "partial 16S ribosomal RNA". It matches the Rfam family "Bacterial small subunit ribosomal RNA", at positions 30 to 523 of the family's 1533-position model. The record is from RNAcentral.